This 532-nucleotide ribosomal RNA is filed under the name uncultured bacterium. Its description in RNAcentral is "bacterial SSU rRNA". It matches the Rfam family "Bacterial small subunit ribosomal RNA", at positions 977 to 1509 of the family's 1533-position model. The record is from RNAcentral.
GGCCUUGACAUACUAAGAACUUUCCAGAGAUGGAUUGGUGCCUUCGGGAACUUAGAUACAGGUGCUGCAUGGCUGUCGUCAGCUCGUGUCGUGAGAUGUUGGGUUAAGUCCCGCAACGAGCGCAACCCUUUUCCUAUUUGCCAGCGGGUCAUGCCGGGAACUUUAAGGAUACUGCCAGUGACAAACUGGAGGAAGGCGGGGACGACGUCAAGUCAUCAUGGCCCUUACGGCCAGGGCUACACACGUGCUACAAUGGUCGGUACAAAGGGUUGCUACCUCGCGAGAGGAUGCUAAUCUCAAAAAGCCGAUCGUAGUCCGGAUCGCAGUCUGCAACUCGACUGCGUGAAGUCGGAAUCGCUAGUAAUCGCGGAUCAGAAUGCCGCGGUGAAUACGUUCCCGGGCCUUGUACACACCGCCCGUCACACCAUGGGAGUUUGUUGCACCAGAAGUAGGUAGUCUAACCGCAAGGAGGACGCUUACCACGGUGUGGCCGAUGACUGGGGUGAAGUCGUAACAAGGUAGGCGUAGAUGA